This 494-nucleotide ribosomal RNA is filed under the name uncultured bacterium. Its description in RNAcentral is "partial 16S ribosomal RNA". It matches the Rfam family "Bacterial small subunit ribosomal RNA", at positions 28 to 507 of the family's 1533-position model. The record is from RNAcentral.
GACGAACGCUGGCGGCGCGCUUAACACAUGCAAGUCGAACGGAAAGGCCUGCUUUCCCUUGUGGAUUGCGGGUACUCGAGUGGCGAACGGGUGAGUAACACGUGAGUGAUCUGCCCCCAACUUGGGUAUAAGCCUGGGAAACUGGGUCUAAUUCCCGAUAGGACUGCAGGGUGGUGCCUGUGGUGGAAAACGAUUUUCUAGUGGUUGGGGAUGAGCCCGCGGCCUAUCAGCUUGUUGGUGGGGUAAUGGCCUACCAAGGCGGCGACGGGUAGCCGGCCUGAGAGGGUGGACGGCCACAUUGGGACUGGGAUACGGCCCAGACUCCUACGGGAGGCAGCAGUGGGGAAUAUUGCACAAUGGGCGGAAGCCUGAUGCAGCGACGCCGCGUGGGGGAUGACGGCCUUCGGGUUGUAAACUCCUUUCGACCGCGAGGAAGCCACCUGGUUGGAAGGGUGGUGACGGUAGUGGUAGAAGAAGCACCGGCUAACUACGUG